AGCAUGGCCAGGGGCGGGGCUUCCCUGAGGCGCGCCGAGAGGCGGUGGCCCACUUCCGGCAAUAAUCGCCUGGUCGCCGUCAGGUGCCGGCCCAGGUGGCAGGCGCGCCCGUUGGGCACUGGGGGACGCGGGCGCGUCAGGUGAAGACUGGGGGCUGCAGGCGCGCUAGGAGAACUAUGCCAUUUUUGGGUCAGGACUGGAGAUCUCCUGGAUGGAGUUGGAUUAAGACAGAAGAUGGCUGGAAGAAUUGUGAAUCUUGUAGUCAGAAACUUGAAAGAGAGAAUAACCAUUGUAACAUCAGUCACAGCAUGAGAAGGACUCUGAGGCAUCUGUGGAAGCAAACCUUUUUUUUUUUUUUUUUUUCCGAGAUGGAGUCUUGCUCUGUCACCCAGGCUGGAGUGCAGUGGCGUGAUCUCGGCUCACUGCAACCUGUGCCUCCUGGGUUCAAGCAAUUCUCCUGCCUCAGCCUCCUGAGUAGCU
This is a long non-coding RNA of Homo sapiens (human), 480 nucleotides long. RefSeq annotates it as long independently transcribed non-coding RNA 1881. NCBI's taxonomy places the organism in Eukaryota, Metazoa, Chordata, Mammalia, Primates, Hominidae. The record is from RefSeq and is marked validated.